GGGAUUAUUGUGUCGAGUGGAGGAGGUAAUGUAGUAGAUAUGGUAUUAUGUGGGGAUUAAAACAGUUGUGAUCGGUUAAUGGUGGCGAGUGUUUAUGUUGCGUAUAUGUGAGAAGGUGAUGUAGGCAUUAGUGAAAUCUGAUAAAUGAAGAGUGUAAUUAAUGUUGAAUGGAAGGAUAUUGUGACAUGAAUAUGUAGUGUAGGUUAAAAUGUUUGUGAUAUGUAGGUGUGAAAAAAUAGCCUAUAAGUAAAGAAUUUUUUUUUAUUAAUUGUUGAGAGAAAAUGUAGUUAGCAGUAACUGAGGUGCGUAUAGUGAGGGUGGAGGUAUGCAUCUAAUGGGGUAUCUAGUUGCGGUAUGAUUGGCAGGUGAAAUUAAAAAAUAAUAGAGGUAGAAUGAGUGUUGCGAAAAUGCUGAUAACAAAAUAAAAGCGCUGUUAUACGAUGAAAGGAAACAAUGGUGAAAAUGGCUAGCACUGUGUGUAGAAUCGGUAAAGUGAGGGCACAGCCCUAGCCACCAACCUCAUAACACACCGCACCCCCACACCCCCACCACACCACACUGCACCCCCUGCCACUACACCUCACCGCCCAGCUCUCCUCCCCACACCUACCACAGAACGUGCCCUACUACCCACACCAAUGUCUACAUACUACAUACAACCCACAUACAACUCAACGACACCAAUUAUUAUUCUGCCGUCUCCCAUGACCACAUACUCUCACAAGACAUUUCCCUGUACAUCCAUCAAUUGUUUCAAGACAACAUUAUCGAUGAGCACACUCAUGUUUUCUUACUCCCCCACACACCCCUGUUCUACAUGUUACCCAAAAUUCACAAACCCCACACCCCAGGCCGCCCAAUAAUCCCAGGUUGCCAAUCGUCCACCGAAAAACUCUCCAUCUUUCUUGACCACUACCUCAAGAAAUUUGUACCCCACAUCCCGUCUACAUCAAGGAUACCACACACUUCCUACAAACAGUCCUCUCCCUCCCCACACCACUACCAGACACAUGUUUUCUUGUCACAAUUGAUGUCACCUCACUCUGCACCAACAUCCCACAUGAGGUGUUUGGGGUUGCAAACUUCACAUGAGAAAUGCAAUUUUUUUUAUCGUAUAACAGUUAUUUUAGGAGUAUCGCCCUGUCUCUGCUUUGUGGUUAUUAAAAUGAGUAGAAAACGAAUAACUCAUUUUCUUAUGCUCUAAUUGUUUUGUGUGGAAAUGGCAACAUCCGCCAGCGAAAA
Molecule: long non-coding RNA, 1242 nt
Organism: Nematostella vectensis (starlet sea anemone)
Lineage: Eukaryota; Metazoa; Cnidaria; Anthozoa; Actiniaria; Edwardsiidae
Exons: 2
Source: RefSeq, a predicted model, not a curated record